Long non-coding RNA from Pipistrellus kuhlii (Kuhl's pipistrelle), 366 nucleotides. RefSeq lists it as uncharacterized. The transcript has 3 exons. NCBI's taxonomy places the organism in Eukaryota, Metazoa, Chordata, Mammalia, Chiroptera, Vespertilionidae. The record is from RefSeq and is a predicted model, not a curated record.
UUGGAGUUCUGUGUUUAUUUCAGAAUCCUCAAUAUAUAUUGGCCACCGAUAAGAAAUCCAGCUCGGAGACACCGUUAAAGAGGCUGAAACGGCUCCAUGAAAGUGUUCCAGGAGUACGGCUCAGGCAGAUGAACACACAAAGCUCUCUGCAUUAUUUGAAGAUUCAGUUUGAACUAGGUUGAAUUCAAAACAACCCGUGUUGGAGCAACUGUGCGCCCAAAAGCAAGCAGGAUCCCUGUGCUCUGUUCUCUCCCCACCUCAUCCGUGGGCCGGAACAUUUUUCCAGGAAAAGGUAGUCAACACGGAGAAAGCCACCACGCCAAUUUCUAGCCCGGAGAUGAAAAAGUAAAGAUUGAGGUUGAAGGC